AGGAUCACAGAAGGUUGGAGACAUCUUUAUUUAUAAAGGGGGAACAGGUGAGGGGCCACUCAGUAGCUGUUGCUUCUUCCUUGCAGGUUGGGCUCCCAGUUGCUUCUUCCCUGCAGGUUGGGCUCCCAGGGGCUUCUGCUUCCUCUUGGCCCCAGCAACCACUGGCUGCAGCGAAUCCCACAACUCGUCGCUCUCUGCUUCUUCGGGAACUACUGGGGCAGGAUCUUUGGGCUCAUCCUGCUGUCCCUGCCUGACAAGAGGAGACAGUUCAGCCGUGACUUGAGAUAGACCUGAGGGAGACAAUUGGACGACCUCCUGAAGCUCCUCCAGCCAACUCACCCUGCCGGAGGUCAAUUUCUGCUAGCUGCCCAUGGGUGUUCCCCACGACCACGGAGCUGUGGAAAGGAACCCAAAGGGUAAUCAGGGAUCGAUCCACAUGAGCUGGCUUUGCCAUUUCCUGCCCCCCCAGAGCCCAGCCAGAUCCCCGCUCCCAUCACUCACUUGCCCC
This is a long non-coding RNA of Sarcophilus harrisii (Tasmanian devil), 508 nucleotides long. RefSeq lists it as uncharacterized. NCBI's taxonomy places the organism in Eukaryota, Metazoa, Chordata, Mammalia, Dasyuromorphia, Dasyuridae. The transcript is spliced from 3 exons. The record is from RefSeq and is a predicted model, not a curated record.